AAAAAACAUGUAUAUUUAUAGUUACCUUUGUAUUAUCUACUGUUUAAAAAAAAAUUCUGACCUUCAACAAACCUGGUUUCUAUUUCCUGUCUGAUGCUGAUGUCACUUCCUGUCCCUGUAGUCAUUUUAUUUUGGCGGUAUUUUCAACCUGAGGUGUGUCAGUCACUUCCUGCUGCUCCACUUCCUGUUCCUCUGUGUUCCCACUGUGCCUCCUCCCCCUGGCCACGCCCCCUGAGGUUCCCUCCUCAGUGAUUAACCUGACCUUUCACACCUGUGUCUCGUUACCUCCUCGUCCUGCUGGUCUUGGAUGAACAGCAGUACUGACCUGUGGUCUGUUGUUUUGGUCCUUCAGUCUGUUCUCUGGACUUUUUGACUCUUCCACCUUCUGCCUCUUGGUAACAUUAUGGAUUUUAUUCUACAGCACCACCUGCAGGAAAGAAGGUGUCCAUGCUUGUAAAAGUCACUUCUAUCAUGGACUCCCCCUGGAGGUCAGAUCGAUACUGUGCUGUGCGAGCCUAUGAUCGACAUGUGUGAACUCUACUGAGAUCACAGCCGGCCCUACUUUCUGGACAAACAUCACAUCAGUUCUCAUUACACCUGAAUAUCCCAGCGUAUCGAUUUACAAAACCAAAACAAGAAGAAUGCACCGUUCCAACCAGAGCAGGAAACCUGCUGACCGUGGUCAGAGUGAGAGAGGACUGGACUUCCUCACACCUGAUAAAAUCCACAGCCUGUAAUCAUCGCUACAGCAGACGCCACGGGCCGUCAUUAAAUCCCAGAGAUCCCAGUUAUCCACUCACACGCGGUGAUGUCAUCGCACCCGUAGGCAGACUCACUGUAGCAUGAUGUCAUCCGCUCGAUGCUAAUCAUACUCCACGCUUGUGUCUGGGAGACUUGAGUAGAAUUAGAGACAACAGACGGUUAUGAUGAUGUCAUCCCUCUCAGUUGGCAGCUGUCCGACUGUGGCACGGCACAUGUGACAGAUGAAGUGAUGAAGCUGACGGAGACCAAGUUAGAGCGGCUGGAGGAAGGAAGUGAAUUUAAACUGAGACUUAUCACAGUGGUGGUCCUGUGGCGCCCUGGGUUUGAGUGCUGCCCUCGUCCCAGUCCCUGUUCUUUACUUUUCUCAUUAAAAUAAAAUCUGACAAUGUUCUCCGAUACCAACAGAAAAA
Molecule: long non-coding RNA, 1172 nt
Organism: Cynoglossus semilaevis (tongue sole)
Lineage: Eukaryota; Metazoa; Chordata; Actinopteri; Pleuronectiformes; Cynoglossidae
Exons: 2
Source: RefSeq, a predicted model, not a curated record